UACGAAGGGGGCUAGCGUUGUUCGGAAUUACUGGGCGUAAAGCGUACGUAGGCGGACAUUUAAGUCAGGGGUGAAAUCCCGGGGCUCAACCCCGGAACUGCCUUUGAUACUGGAUGUCUUGAGUCCGGAAGAGGUGAGUGGAAUUGCGAGUGUAGAGGUGAAAUUCGUAGAUAUUCGCAGGAACACCAGUGGCGAAGGCGGCUCACUGGUCCGGUACUGACGCUGAGGUACGAAAGCGUGGGGAGCAAACAGG
RNAcentral lists this ribosomal RNA (253 nucleotides) under uncultured bacterium. RNAcentral's name for it is "partial 16S ribosomal RNA". It matches the Rfam family "Bacterial small subunit ribosomal RNA", at positions 524 to 776 of the family's 1533-position model. The record is from RNAcentral. RNAcentral also lists the same sequence under 1 other name.